This 1413-nucleotide long non-coding RNA is filed under the name Macaca fascicularis (crab-eating macaque). Its description in RNAcentral is "lncRNA (ENSMFAG00000049224.1)". Lineage: Eukaryota; Metazoa; Chordata; Mammalia; Primates; Cercopithecidae. The record is from RNAcentral.
UUCCAUUUUUAUUAAAGUUGUCUUUUUCUAAGAAACAUAUUACACUUAAAGUUCAAUACCAUAAAUAUUCUUAAAUCUUCUAUUUUAGUUAUUAAAAAUGUAAACACAAAAGAAAACAACCACUCCCUCCCCAUCCCCAAUCUAAUAUAUAUUUAAAAAAUAUUCUUCCUCUCAGGUAAGUUCUUUUCUUCAGAAUGAGUAACACAGACUUCAUUAAAAUCUUGUUAGUCCUCCUGGGCUGCAAGGACAUGGCAGGAAUGACGAGUGUCCACUGUGACUGAGGCCUGUCUCCUCCUGCCAUGACCACUCAUGUGCCCCGAGAGACAGGCUCCUCUCUGUCCAUUUAGUGUCCAAGGACAUGGACAGUGGUAAGGCACCGAGCACAGACACUGUGACGAACACAGCACGCAGGAUGGCAUAUGCUCCUGGAGGCAGACCACAGCCAGCACAGACAGCAAUUCUGGAUGAGUGUUAUAGUCACAGGCUAUAGGGCUGGAAGGAUUCUGAGAGAUCACUUAGUCGUUCACAGAUGGCCUCAGUCAGUAAGUCUUCUAAUGUUAGAGGGGACACUGAUACAACAUUAUGGAAUACUUUGAUAUAUUUAUUUAUUUACCUUCCUAAAACUAAACCUCAUAAAAUGAUGUUUCAACUUCAAAUAUCAAUAAACCUUAAGCCUAGAUAGGCUAAAAACUAACUGCAAGCAUAAUUCAUAACAUUUAUAGAAUGUCUAUUUGGUCUCAAGAAAAAUAAGCAUCCUAUAGGAAAAAUGUAAGGGUUACUGGUUUUCAGAAAUAAAAGGAUGUUUUUCAGGAGAAUACUGGAAGGAUCUAUAUUAGGACGACCUACCUGUUUGCCAGUUUCUUUAAAGCUGUCAGCUCAAGGCUACUGACAUGGCUUUUGCUUCCUUCCUGUAAAUUUUGUUCCUGAAAACCUGAGACAAAUUCACUUGAUAUUUUUGACAACUGGGACCUUAAAAUGAUCAAAAUGAGCCUAAGUCUGAACUGAAAACCAAAGUAGUCAGUUUUUAUAAGUACUUGACCCUUUUUUAAUCAGAAAGUGACUCCAGUCUACUGUCCCCAAAUUGCUGCUCCCCAUUCCUUCCCUGCAUCCCUCACUUCCACUACAGCUGCAGCCAGCCCAGUCUGUCCCUCUUACAGAGACAUGGCUUUGUCUUUGCUAACAUGAAGGUAUAACCUGCCACAGGAUACCAACGCGUGGGCCAUUUCAAACUCUCCACUUUGCAGCUGAAUUUUAUACCAAUAAUGCUGCAAUGACAUCUCGGAUUCUAAAAGUCUGCUUCACUGUCAUCUUUUUUUUCCCCAAGAAAGAGUCUCCCUCUGUCAUCCAGGCUGUACAGUGCAGUGGUGUGAUCAAGCUCACUGUAACCUCAAACUCCUGACCUAGUGAUCCACC